CCUACGGGUGGCAGCAGUGAGGAAUAUUGGUCAAUGGGCUUACGCCUGAACCAGCCAAGUCGCGUGGGGGAAGACUGCCCUAUGGGUUGUAAACCUCUUUUGUCAGGGAGCAACGCCGGCUACGUGUAGCCGGACUGAGAGUACCUGAAGAAAAAGCCUCGGCUAACUCCGUGCCAGCAGCCGCGGUACUACGGAGGAUGCGAGCGUUAUCCGGAUUUCUUGGGUUUAAAGGGUGCGUAGGCGGAAUGCCAAGUCAGCGGUAAAAGCGCGGGGCUCAACCUCGCUCCGCCGUUGAAACUGGCGUUCUUGAGUGGGCGAGAAGUAUGCGGAAGGCGUGGUGUAGCGGGGAAAUGCAUAGAUAUCACGCAGAACUCCGAUUGCGAAGGCAGCAUACCGGCGCCCAACUGACGCUGAAGCACGAAAGCGUGGGUAUCGAACAGGAUUAGAUACCCGUGUAGUC
This 460-nucleotide ribosomal RNA is filed under the name uncultured bacterium. Its description in RNAcentral is "partial 16S ribosomal RNA". It matches the Rfam family "Bacterial small subunit ribosomal RNA", at positions 338 to 795 of the family's 1533-position model. The record is from RNAcentral.